AUCCAACUGACGAGACCUAAAUAGGAUGAAACGCGCGUCCUGAAU
This is a non-coding RNA of Schistosoma rodhaini, 45 nucleotides long. The record is from Rfam. Lineage: Eukaryota; Metazoa; Platyhelminthes; Trematoda; Strigeidida; Schistosomatidae.